RNAcentral lists this ribosomal RNA (805 nucleotides) under Onygenales sp. 799_1_CP01. Its description in RNAcentral is "eukaryotic LSU rRNA". It matches the Rfam family "Eukaryotic large subunit ribosomal RNA", at positions 104 to 925 of the family's 3401-position model. Lineage: Eukaryota; Fungi; Ascomycota; Eurotiomycetes; Onygenales. The record is from RNAcentral.
ACAGCUCAAAUUUGAAAUCUGGCCUCACGGUCCGAGUUGUAAUUUGUAGAGGAUGCUUCGAGCAUGGUCUGGCCUAAGUUCCUUGGAACAGGACGUCAUAGAGGGUGAGAAUCCCGUAUGCGGCCAGGUGCCUACGCUCAUGUGAAGCUCCUUCGACGAGUCGAGUUGUUUGGGAAUGCAGCUCAAAAUGGGUGGUAAAUUUCAUCUAAAGCUAAAUAUUGGCCAGAGACCGAUAGCGCACAAGUAGAGUGAUCGAAAGAUGAAAAGCACUUUGGAAAGAGAGUUAAACAGUACGUGAAAUUGUUGAAAGGGAAGCGCUUGCAACCAGACUUGCGCGCGGCCGAUCAUCCGGUGUUCUCACCGGUGCACUCGGCCGUGCUCAGGCCAGCAUCGGUUUUGGCGGCUGGAUAAAGGCCCUAGGAAUGUAGCUCCUCUCGGGGAGUGUUAUAGCCUUAAGGUGCAAUGCAGGCUGCUGGGGAACGGAAGGAACCGCGCUUCGGCUAGGAUGCUGGCUUAAUGGUUGUAAGCGGCCCGUCUUGAAACACGGACCAAGGAGUCUAACAUCUAUGCGAGUGUUUGGGUGUCAAACCCAUACGCGUAAUGAAAGUGAACGGAGGUGAGAACCCUUAAGGGUGCAUCAUCGACCGGUCCUGAAGUUUACGGAAGGAUCUGAGUAAGAGCAUAGCUGUUGGGACCCGAAAGAUGGUGAACUAUGCCUGAAUAGGGUGAAGCCAGAGGAAACUCUGGUGGAGGCUCGCAGCGGUUCUGACGUGCAAAUCGAUCGUCAAAUUUGGGUAUAGGGGCG